This 382-nucleotide ribosomal RNA is filed under the name Burmagomphus pyramidalis. RNAcentral describes it as "partial 16S ribosomal RNA". Lineage: Eukaryota; Metazoa; Arthropoda; Insecta; Odonata; Gomphidae. The record is from RNAcentral.
GGCCUCUUGUUUAUAUAUGAGGUCUGACCUGCCCGGUGAAAUUUAUUUUAACGGCCGCAGUAUUUUGACUGUGCAAAGGUAGCAUAAUCAUUAGUCUUUUAAUAGGGGGCUGGAAUGAAGGGUUUGACGAGGUGUUAGCUGUCUCAUCUAAUUUGUAUUUAAAAUUUAACUUUUCAGUUAAAAGGCUGAAAUUUUUUUGGAAGACGAGAAGACCCUAUAGAGCUUUAUAGUUUAGAUUUUUAUAAAGGGUUGUUUAUGAUUAUUUAUUAUUUUUUAAACUAUUUUGUUGGGGUGACAAAAAUAUAUAAUUAACUUUUUCAUUAUAUUUACAUUGAUUGAUGAAUAUUAGAUCCAAUUUUAUUGAUUGUUAGAUUAAGUUACC